AACUUUGCGCAGAGGUAAUAUCGUAACCGAUGAGGUCAAAUCGAGAUGCAAUUAUUGCUAUUUUAAAACUUUCUUUUUGUUUUAUUGUAAAGAAGCUGAUUUAAGUCAAUAAUUAUGUAUAUUUAAAUGUAAG
Molecule: small nuclear RNA, 133 nt
Organism: Pectinophora gossypiella (pink bollworm)
Lineage: Eukaryota; Metazoa; Arthropoda; Insecta; Lepidoptera; Gelechiidae
Product: U4 spliceosomal RNA
Exons: 1
Source: RefSeq, a predicted model, not a curated record